AUGAGCACAUGGAGUAGGAAGGUGGUGGGCGAAUUGGAUGGCAGAAUUAAGAAGACACGUAAUGAUCUUGAGAAAUGCAUGCUCGAACCGGUCUCUGAAGCAAAGAUCCGAGAGGAAGCACGACUUAGAUGCUUGCUGGAGGAACUGAAGGAGAAAAAGCACACGCGGCUUCAGCAACGGGCACAUAUGUGGUGGCUUCAUGGCGGGAGCAAAAAUAUCAAGUAUUUGCAAUCGGUUGCGUCGGCCAGGAAGAGAUCAAAUAAAUUGAAGGAGAUUAGGAGGGAGGAUGGCACAGUGGUGGAGGAAGGAGAAGCACUAACUAAUUAUGUGUGUUCAUUUUUUCAGGAUUUGUUCACCUCAUCCAACCGACACCGACUUUCUGAGCUGAUUGAUAAGGUUCAGCCACGAGUAUCGAGCUCUAUGAAUGCAAUCCUGGAGGCAGAAUACACCCGGGAGGAAGUGAAAGCUGCACUUGACCACAUUGGUGAUCUAAAGGCCCCAGGACCGGACGGUAUGCCGGCAAUUGUAUUGAAGCGUCAUUGA
Molecule: ribosomal RNA, 543 nt
Filed under: Triticum aestivum (bread wheat)
Lineage: Eukaryota; Viridiplantae; Streptophyta; Magnoliopsida; Poales; Poaceae
Description: partial small subunit ribosomal RNA
Source: RNAcentral